RNAcentral lists this ribosomal RNA (175 nucleotides) under uncultured Prochlorococcus sp. Its description in RNAcentral is "partial 16S ribosomal RNA". It matches the Rfam family "Bacterial small subunit ribosomal RNA", at positions 359 to 525 of the family's 1533-position model. Lineage: Bacteria; Bacillati; Cyanobacteriota; Cyanophyceae; Synechococcales; Prochlorococcaceae. The record is from RNAcentral.
GGGUUUUGCCCAUGGGGCGAAACCCUGACGGCAGCCCGCCGCGUGAGGGAUGAAGGCCUUUGGGCUGUAAACCUCUUUUAUCAAGGAAGAAAAUCUGACGGUUCUUGACUAAUAAGCCACGGCUUAUCCCCUGCCAACAACCGCGGUAACUUCCGUGCCAGCAGCCGCGGUAAUA